Long non-coding RNA from Neopsephotus bourkii (Bourke's parrot), 1386 nucleotides. RefSeq lists it as uncharacterized. NCBI's taxonomy places the organism in Eukaryota, Metazoa, Chordata, Aves, Psittaciformes, Psittacidae. The transcript has 3 exons. The record is from RefSeq and is a predicted model, not a curated record.
GUCGGCUCCGAAGAGCAUUCCUUCCGAUCAAAACAACAACCAACCGAAGCUGUUGAUUUUGCAUCUCAGGAUUAGUGUCACAAACCCAAGCGUUCAGACAACGGCUCUGCAGCUAUAGGAAGCUAAGAUUAUCUUAUAUUUACAACAACAUUUCAUAACCUUUCACUCUCAGCACCACCUUUUCAGUAUCGAAGGCACUCUCAGAGAUUCAACUCUUUUGUUUGCUAUCAUAAGAAAAAAAACCAAAACACACCAACCCUUAGUUUGGGUAACCACUGGAAUUUAUUUAGCCUAAGUUGUUACCACAUGCCAAAUACUGUCUCUACUUCUUCUAUAUUUGUCAUAUAUGUUGAGCUUAAGUCCCCAUCACCACCCCCAGCGCCCACAAAAAUGUCUGCUCUGUUUGGCUUAUAAAGGAAAAAUAUCCUUUUAAGGGAAAGGCACUUCAGUAAAAGAUAACGCUUGUUUUUUACCUUAUCAGCAGUGUGAGAGAAAGGAGAAAAAGAGAGGGUGGGAAUUUUAGUGAUGGAGAGACAUCCCCUUGCUUAUGCAUGUGAAUUCCUGAGUCCUCCCAACACCAUAGCUACUCAAUUAAAGGCCCACAUUAUAGAAGAGUUUCUUCCUCAGAACAGCUCACACCAAGGAAUUUAACUAUGAACAUCUAGAAAUACAUCGUCACCAGUUCCAAACUAUAAUGCAGAACAAUAGUUACCACAGUAAUGAUGAUUCCAAAAAGAUUUCCUCCCAUCUGUACCAACAGUAUGUGCUGACGAUUGCCAGAGUCCUGCGGACGUUCAAGAGUGUGGCUCCCUACCACAGCAUUGCACAGCACAUUGUGUUGCACUUUUGAUCAACACAAGACUCAAAAAACAAGUCAGGGGAGUUCAGCUGAGUCAGGGCUGCAGAGCUGCCUACACCAGGUGUGAGAGCUGGCUACAAAGGAGAAAGGUACUCAAGGCAUAAGUGCUGGUCAGGACUCAGGGCAUCACCCUCUCAGCUUCUGAGAGGCAAGGCCUACAGCUGCCUUGAUCCUGACAGAACUCUAGGGAAUCUCAGAACUGUCUCAUUUGCUAUUGUAUAUCACAGUCCAAUACAUUUCAACAUACAUGAGGACAUAAUGGAACAGGAUAUUUAAUUCUGAAAGGAUAUUUAAUUUUGAAAGGCAUUAAAUAGUAACAGCAUCUCCCUUAACAUUAUUCCCAAUCAUUAAGAAUCUCUUGCUGGCCUCCUGCAAGCCUUACUCCCACCCAUAAAUAUGCCCAAUCUCCAGUGCCUGGAGAAGGAGUCCAAUUCCUCCACAGCUUUCUCUGAGCUUCCUUCCAUACCAAGCCCAAACCACUCAAUGUAGGGUGUUUCUUUUAAAAGAUUAAAACUUAGCAAACCUCU